Molecule: ribosomal RNA, 497 nt
Filed under: uncultured bacterium
Lineage: Bacteria
Description: partial 16S ribosomal RNA
Rfam family: Bacterial small subunit ribosomal RNA
Source: RNAcentral
GAUGAACGCUGGCGGCGUGCCUAAUACAUGCAAGUCGAGCGAACAGAUCAGGAGCUUGCUGGUUGCACGUUAGGGGCGGGCGUGUGAGUAACACGAGUGUAACCUCUUUAUAAGACUGAUAUAACUACGGGAAUCCGGGUAAAACGCCGGAUAACCUGGUGAACCUGAGGGUUCGACAGUGAAAGGCGGCUGUGCUGUCACGACUAGAUGGUCCCCGGCCGUUUGGGCGAGUUGGUGAGAUAACGGCUCACGAAGGCUACGAUACGUAGCCGACCGGAGAGGGUGGUCGGCCACCCGGGAACGGGACCACGGACAAGACUCCUACGGGAGGCAGCAGUGGGGAACGUUCGGCAAUGGGCGAAAGCCUGACGCAGCAAGGCCGCGUGAGUGAUGAAGGCCUUCGGUUCGUAAAGCCCUGUUAUUAGGGAAGAACAACUUGGUACGUAAAUGUGCGCGGCGUGACGGUACCGGAUCAGAAAGCACCGGCUAACUACGUG